CCUACGGGUGGCAGCAGUGAGGGAUAUUGGACAAUGGGGGAAACCCUGAACCAGCAACGCCGCGUGAGGGAAGACGGUUUUCGGAUUGUAAACUUCUGUUCUCUGUGAAGAUAAUGACGGUCGUAGAGGAGGAAGCUCCGGCUAACUACGUGCCAGCAGCCGCGGGCAUCCGUAGGGAGCAAGCGUUGUCCGGAUUUACUGGGUGUAAAGGGUGCGGAGGCGGCUUUGCAAGUCAGAAGUGAAAUCCAUGGGCUUAACCCAGGAACUGCUUUUGAAACUGCAGAGCUGGAGUGGAGUAGAGGUAGGCGGAAUUCCCGGUGUAGCAGUGAAAUGCGUAGAGAUCGGGAGGAACACCAGUGGCGAAGGCGGCCUACUGGGCUCGAACUGACGCUGAGGCACGAAAGCGUGGGUAGCAAACAGGAUUAGAUACCCUAGUAGUC
RNAcentral lists this ribosomal RNA (440 nucleotides) under uncultured bacterium. Its description in RNAcentral is "partial 16S ribosomal RNA". It matches the Rfam family "Bacterial small subunit ribosomal RNA", at positions 338 to 795 of the family's 1533-position model. The record is from RNAcentral.